This 459-nucleotide ribosomal RNA is filed under the name uncultured bacterium. RNAcentral's name for it is "partial 16S ribosomal RNA". It matches the Rfam family "Bacterial small subunit ribosomal RNA", at positions 338 to 795 of the family's 1533-position model. The record is from RNAcentral.
CCUACGGGCGGCAGCAGUGAGGAAUAUUGGUCAAUGGGCGCGAGCCUGAACCAGCCAAGCCGCGUGAGGGAAGACGGUCCUAUGGAUUGUAAACCUCUUUUGUCGGGGAGCAAAAGACGCCACGCGUGGCGUUCCGAGAGUACCCGAAGAAAAAGCAUCGGCUAACUCCGUGCCAGCAGCCGCGGUAAUACGGAGGAUGCGAGCGUUAUCCGGAUUUAUUGGGUUUAAAGGGUGCGCAGGCGGAAGAUCAAGUCAGUGGUAAAAUUGAGAGGCUCAACCUCUUCGAGCCGUUGAAACUGGUUGUCUUGAGUGAGCGAGAAGUAUGCGGAAUGCGUGGUGUAGCGGUGAAAUGCAUAGAUAUCACGCAGAACUCCGAUUGCGAAGGCAGCAUACCGGCGCGCAACUGACGCUCAUGCACGAAAGUGUGGGUAUCGAACAGGAUUAGAUACCCCUGUAGUC